RNAcentral lists this small RNA (124 nucleotides) under Salmonella enterica. RNAcentral's name for it is "partial RtT sRNA". It matches the Rfam family "RtT RNA". Rfam says of the family: This family represents a bacterial cis-regulatory element known as RtT RNA. The exact function of RtT is unknown although it is thought that it may be involved in changing the cellular response in relation to amino acid starvation. Lineage: Bacteria; Pseudomonadati; Pseudomonadota; Gammaproteobacteria; Enterobacterales; Enterobacteriaceae. The record is from RNAcentral. RNAcentral also lists the same sequence under 2 other names.
UCUGUACGGGAAGGAUGAGAAGCUUCGACUAAGGUUCGAUUCGAGCGCAGCGAGAAAGCGUUGCCGCAGGCAACGACCCGAAGGGCGAAGCGCGCAGCGCUGAGUCAUCCUUCCCCCACCACCA